AAUAUGUAGGUACCUACCUCCGGGUUCGGGAUAGCUGCGGGAAACUGCAGGUAAUACCGAAUAACGUCUCCGGACCAAAGGUGUGAUUCCACCUGGAGAGGGGCCUGCAUCCUAUUAGCUUGUUGGUGGGGUAACGGCCUACCAAGGCGACGAUGGGUAGCGGGUGUGAGAGCAUGACCCGCGUCAUUGGGACUGAGACACUGCCCAGACACCUACGGGUGGCUGCAGUCGAGAAUCUUCGGCAAUGGGCGAAAGCCUGACCGAGCGACGCCGCGUGCGGGAUGAAGGCCUUCGGGUUGUAAACCGCUGUCGUAGAGGAGGAAGUGCAGGGGGGUUCUCCCCUCUGUUUGACCUAUUCUAGGAGGAAGUACGGGCUAAGUUCGUGCCAGCAGCCGCGGUAAGACGAACCGUACAAACGUUACUCGGAAUUACUGGGCUUAAAGGGUGCGUAGGCUGCGCGGAAAGUUGGGUGUGAAAUCCCUCGGCUCAACCGGGGAAUUGCAUCCAAAACUACCGUGCUAGAGGGAGAUAGAGGUGAGCGGAACUCAAGGUGGAGCGGUGAAAUGCGUUGAUAUCUUGAGGAACACCGGUGGCGAAGGCGGCUCACUGGAUCUCUUCUGACGCUGAGGCACGAAAGCCAAGGUAGCAAACGGGAUUAGAUACCCCGGUAAUCUUGGCCGUAAACG
RNAcentral lists this ribosomal RNA (686 nucleotides) under uncultured bacterium. RNAcentral describes it as "bacterial SSU rRNA". It matches the Rfam family "Bacterial small subunit ribosomal RNA", at positions 112 to 808 of the family's 1533-position model. The record is from RNAcentral.